This 381-nucleotide ribosomal RNA is filed under the name Triticum aestivum (bread wheat). RNAcentral describes it as "partial small subunit ribosomal RNA". The record is from RNAcentral. Lineage: Eukaryota; Viridiplantae; Streptophyta; Magnoliopsida; Poales; Poaceae.
AUGACGGAGAUGCGGACUCCGGCUCCUUAUGAGGUGCCGAAGAAGACCAAGAAGAAGGCCACAGGAACCCGAAAGAGUUCCCGGCGCCAGGUGGUAUCGGAAACAUCGUCCGAUAACUCCAAGGCGCACUCCUCCGUGAAAACGAGGAGAAGGAAGACGAAGAUUCUCCCCCUCCAGCCCGGGGAGAAAAGAAAAGGAAGGCCACCCCAACCGGGGAGGCCGAAGGGUCCAAGAAGGGAAGGACUCUCCUUCCGGACUAUUCCACCACCGCCGCCGACGGCGAAGACGAGUGGCUGCUCAGGGCCAAGCCCCUGGCGAAGUUGUAAGUAUUCGGAUACCAGAGUAACUCAUAGAAUACUUUUGUUGCACUGCUUCUCCUAA